AUGAUCCGCCUCCGCAGCUGCGUCCUCACCCGCCUCCUCUCCUCGCCCUCCGCACCGCCCACUCCAUUCCGCCCCCACCGCCUCCUCUCCGCGGCCCCGCUAGCCGUUUCCCCAAACCCUAGCUUCGCCGUCGAGGACUACCUCGUCGCCGCCUGCGGCCUCACCCGACCACAGGCCGUCAAGGCCUCCGCCAAGCUCCCCCGCCUCAAGUCCCCCGCCAACCCCGACGCCGUGCUCGCCUUCCUCGCCGGCCUCGGCCUCUCCGCCGCCGAUGUCGCCGCGGUCGUCGCCAGGGACCCCAGGUCACUCUGCGCCAGCGUGGAGAGAACCCUGGCGCCCGUCGUCGUCGGGCUCUCUGACCUCGGGCUAUCGCGCUCCGACAUUGCGCGCCUUGCCUCGCUCGCCGUCCACAGAUUCCGCAAAGAAGACACAGUCUCCAAGCUGCAGUACUACCUGCACCUUUUCGGCUCCUCGGAGAACCUCCUACGGGCCAUGAAGUUCUGCGAUUUCCUCUCGCACAGCCUCGAGAGGGUGGUCAAGCCCAAUGUCGUCUUCCUGCGUGAGUGCGGGUUAGGUGCUUGCGAUAUUGCCAAGCUGUGCAUCCAAAGACCGAGGAUGAUCACCGCCAACCUGCAGCAUCUCCAGGCGAUGGUGGCAUGCGCCGAAAACAUAGGUGUGCCCCGUGGUUCUGGGAUGUUCAGGCACGCGCUGCAUGCCGUUGCGUUCAUGAGCGAGGCGGAGAUUACAGCCAGAGUGGAGUACCUGAAGAGCACCUUCACGUGGACCGAUGCUGAGGUGGGCAUUGCUGUUUCUAGGGCUCCAUUGAUGCUGACAAGGUCCAAGGAAUCGCUGCAGCGUAGGUCUGAGUUCUUUAUCUCCGAGGUGGGCUUGGAACCGUCCUACAUUGCUCAGCAGUCGGUAUUACUCGGUUACAGCCUAGAGGCCCGGCUCAGGCCCCGGUACUACGCUGUAAAGUUUCUCAAGGAAAAUGGAUUGCUCAAGCGCGACCCGAGCUACUGUACUGUUUUCAAGGAGACUGAGAAGGUAUUCAGGGAGAAUUUUAUAUGCCCUCACAAGGAAGCUGCACCACACCUCGAAGAGGACUAUGAUGCCGCCUGUAAAGGAGAAGUGCCGACUAAUUUCAGAUUCACAUGA
RNAcentral lists this ribosomal RNA (1155 nucleotides) under Triticum aestivum (bread wheat). RNAcentral's name for it is "partial small subunit ribosomal RNA". The record is from RNAcentral. Lineage: Eukaryota; Viridiplantae; Streptophyta; Magnoliopsida; Poales; Poaceae.